AUAUCAAUAAGCGGAGGAAAAGAAACCAACAGGGAUUGCCUUAGUAACGGCGAGUGAAGUGGCAAUAGCUCAGAUUUGAAAUCCGGCCGUUAAGGCCCGAGUUGUAAUCUGGAGAGGAAUCUUUUGGCAACGAUGAAUCUGAGAUCCUUGGAAUAGGACACCAUAGAGGGUGAGAGUCCCGUUUAGAUUCAAUCUUAGCCUAUAUAAAGUUCCUUCAAUGAGUCGCGUAGUCCGGGACUGCUGCGCAAAUUGGGAGGUAAACUCCUCCUAAAGCUAAAUACUGGCCAGAGACCGAUAGCGCACAAGUA
Molecule: ribosomal RNA, 308 nt
Filed under: uncultured eukaryote
Lineage: Eukaryota
Description: partial large subunit ribosomal RNA
Rfam family: Eukaryotic large subunit ribosomal RNA
Source: RNAcentral